GUCCACGCCUAACGAUGAUUACUAGAUGUGUGCAAUAUACCGUACGCGUCACAGCUAAGCGUUAAGUAAUCCACCUGGGAGUACGGUCGCAAGACUGAACUCAAAGGAAUUGACGGGCCCGCACAAGCGGAGGAGCAUGUGGUUAAUUCGAUGAUACGCGAGGAACCUUACCAGGGCUUGAAAGUUAGUGAAUGAUUUAGAAAUAGGUCAGCAAGCAAUUGCACGAAACUAGGUGCUGCAUGGCCGUCGU
Molecule: ribosomal RNA, 250 nt
Filed under: uncultured bacterium
Lineage: Bacteria
Description: partial 16S ribosomal RNA
Rfam family: Bacterial small subunit ribosomal RNA
Source: RNAcentral